RNAcentral lists this ribosomal RNA (514 nucleotides) under uncultured bacterium. Its description in RNAcentral is "partial 16S ribosomal RNA". It matches the Rfam family "Bacterial small subunit ribosomal RNA", at positions 28 to 523 of the family's 1533-position model. The record is from RNAcentral.
GAUGAACGCUGGCGGCGUGCCUAAUACAUGCAAGUCGAGCGAACUGAUUAGAAGCUUGCUUCUAUGACGUUAGCGGCGGACGGGUGAGUAACACGUGGGCAACCUGCCUGUAAGACUGGGAUAACUUCGGGAAACCGAAGCUAAUACCGGAUAGGAUCUUCCCCUCCAUGGGAGAUGAUUGAAAGAUGGUUUCGGCUAUCACUUACAGAUGGGCCUGCGGUGCAUUAGCUAGUUGGUGAGGUAACGGCUCACCAAGGCAACGAUGCAUAGCCGACCUGAGAGGGUGAUCGGCCACACUGGGACUGAGACACGGCCCAGACUCCUACGGGAGGCAGCAGUAGGGAAUCUUCCGCAAUGGACGAAAGUCUGACGGAGCAACGCCGCGUGAGUGAUGAAGGCUUUCGGGUCGUAAAACUCUGUUGUUAGGGAAGAACAAGUACGAGAGUAACUGCUCGUACCUUGACGGUACCUAACCAGAAAGCCACGGCUAACUACGUGCCAGCAGCCGCGGUAA